Molecule: ribosomal RNA, 142 nt
Filed under: uncultured eukaryote
Lineage: Eukaryota
Description: partial 18S ribosomal RNA
Rfam family: Eukaryotic small subunit ribosomal RNA
Source: RNAcentral
UGGUGGAGUGAUUUGUCUGGUUAAUUCCGUUAACGAACGAGACCUCGACCUGCUAAAUAGUUCGACGAAGGAUUCUUCCUUCGGACGCGACUUCUUAGAGGGACUAUCGGUGUGUAGCCGACGGAAGUUCGAGGCAAUAACA